This is a non-coding RNA of Phascolarctos cinereus (koala), 195 nucleotides long. The record is from RefSeq and is a predicted model, not a curated record. NCBI's taxonomy places the organism in Eukaryota, Metazoa, Chordata, Mammalia, Diprotodontia, Phascolarctidae.
AAAGGAUUCCCUUGACACUUUUUUGGAGACAAGAUCGAAUUCGUAGUGAAUCCAUUCUGUACUUUCAGUGAGCAGUAUUGGGGUUAGAAGAUGACAGGUGUAGCAGAAUCACAUUUUGACAACUGCUAGAGAUAAUCCUAAGGAGACUAAUUAUAUCUACAUAAAGUGACAAAGUAUGACAAAAUGAUGGCCCAG